GCCGGGUAUGGUGGUGCACACCUGUAAUCCCAGCUACUUGGGAGGCUGAGGCAGGAGAAUUGCUUGUACCCAGGAGGUGGAGGAUGCAGUGAACGAAGAUCAUUUUACUGCACUCCAGCCUGGGUGGCAUAGUGAGACUCUGUCUCAA
Molecule: non-coding RNA, 148 nt
Organism: Nomascus leucogenys (northern white-cheeked gibbon)
Lineage: Eukaryota; Metazoa; Chordata; Mammalia; Primates; Hylobatidae
Rfam family: Metazoan signal recognition particle RNA
About the family: The signal recognition particle (SRP) is a universally conserved ribonucleoprotein. It is involved in the co-translational targeting of proteins to membranes. The eukaryotic SRP consists of a 300-nucleotide 7S RNA and six proteins: SRPs 72, 68, 54, 19, 14, and 9.
Source: Rfam